Gopherus evgoodei (Goodes thornscrub tortoise) is the source of this 3914-nucleotide long non-coding RNA. RefSeq lists it as uncharacterized. The record is from RefSeq and is a predicted model, not a curated record. Lineage: Eukaryota; Metazoa; Chordata; Testudines; Testudinidae. The transcript has 4 exons.
CAUAUAUAGUUUUUGAACGCCCAUUUGUGCUUUCAGGUCUCCAUAAUUUUUUUUCCUUUCCCCUGCUUCACUAGUCAUUUGUUCCUCUAGCAAAGCCCCCUCACAGCAAUGCAACUUGUGCUUAACACCUUUUUUCUGCUGAAUGAUCCUCACUAGGAAGGACAGCUGAGCCUGAACAUGGUGACAUGCACCAGCUUUCACAACUAUUCAGCAGUAGGAGUAAAUGACAUAGCCUGUGUUUAAGUGCCCUUACACCAGCCAUUAGUGAUGGAGCAUGCAUUAAUUUAGAUGCUUCUCUGAAUUGUAUCAUGCCAAUUUAUAUUUCUUCGCCCCCCCUCCAUACCAGGGAUUUGCAGAGAAUAAAGCCAACAGGUCAGCUGCUGAGGGCAUUACUCUGCCAUUGCUAAGGCAAACUCCUCUUGACAUUAAGCAAUAACUGAAGGGGCUAGGAUUUGUCUCCAGCUGAAUAAUAAAGCAGAUGAAAUAAGCCAGGGAUGAGUAUUCACAAUUCAAUUGACAGCAGGGGGAUUUUUUUCAAGGCAUUUCACUGAAGCCAGGAAGAAAGCGCAAACAUGAAUCAUUUUUAUUGAUUUGUUUUCUCCCUAUGUAGUCUGUCCUUUCCAUUAAUAUAUCUUCCAGAAAUAUAAAUGUGGAAGGUGGCUAGCCCAGACUGAUAAUUAAAAUACCAUAUGCACUUGACACUCUAUUGCCCAGCAGCAUCUUGUGCAGGCAUUUACACCAGUGCAAAAAUGGGUAGCAUUUUAUAGCUGCCUAGCACUGAUGAAAAUGACUAUGCAAGGAACCAGGCAUGGAGAAUCAAGCCCUAUAUUUUUGUAGUACCUAGCAAUCCUGGCCAGUGGCACUGUGGUAAACCCCUACUCCUGUAAAAUUCACCUACAGCAGAGAAGAUCUCACCAUCCUUCUAAAGUGUGUCUACCUGGAAAUUGAAUCAGCCUGGCUAGAGAAUUGGCCGUAUUCCAAAUGUUCUAAUAAUACUUUGUUAUUGCCUCAGAGUAAGAAGAAUCUUGUUCCAAUAUUUUUUUCCUGCCUAGCAUGUGUUCAGUAUGUGAUGUAAAGUAAUGUCCAUUUUUGCAAAGCAGCUGUCAAAUUAACUGCCUAACAAAUCAGAUGGCUAAUCAGCAUGUGAAUGCAUUGGGAACUGUGUCUGUGAACAAGUCCCGCUACUCUUAGAACCCUGGGGAGCUUUGCCACCAGAUGGUUCUGUUUGAGCACACCCAGAGCAAGGGAUUGUGUUCCUGACCACCUUGGCUAAUAACCAUCAAUGGACCUGUCCUCCAUGAACUUCAAGGAAAUGCAGUUUGGGAUAUAACUGGAUGAAAGGAGCUAGAGAAAGCUUCAAACAAUUUGCCUGGUACUGAAGAUAGGCUCACCAGCCUGGAAUUGGCAGGAUUGCCUCUGGAGUCUUUUUGCUUCUGUUUAAUGUUCUCCUUCCACUGAGACUUUUAACUGCGGAGAGGCUGUCGGACUGAGGGUGGGACCACUCUAGCAUGUCCCUGUCUCAUCUGUGUACUGCUGUUUCCUUUAGCUCCUCCUGUUCAGCCAUUGUGAAGAGCUACACCUUACCACCCUGCAGAUCAUUAAGCUGGUAUUCAGCAUGAGUAAGGUAUGACAAGUGGAGCUGCUCUGUAAUGAUUUGUGAAUACUGCAGGAUGACCAGAUUGUUGGGAUGUUUAUUGUACGAAUAUAUUGGUUGUGCAAACGCUAGAGGCUUGUUAAAAGCAAGACCAGGAAACCAGAACAUUGUAAAUCACUGCAGCAGAAAACUCCCCCAUUCAGGCAAGCACUUAAGCAUAUGGAAGUUAAGGCUAAGCACAUGCUUAAGUGCUUUCUUGAACAGAAGUGAACUUAGUAUAUGCCUAAGUUAAGUUAAGUUUAACCAACCUUGGGGUAUCUACAGGCUAUUGGAAUACAAAUAAAAUAUUUUUUUUUGUUUUGAACAUGGAAAUUUUUCCCAGUACAAAACUGGAACAGGCUCUCUUAGGGUGAUGUGGCUCUGACCUGAUUGGAACAGCGUGUAGAGUGCACUAUGUAUAUUUACCCAUUUUAAAAAAAAGUCAUCUGGAAUCAUUUUUUCCUCUGACAUGAAUAAUGUUGAUGGAGACACUAACGGAUUAGGCUGCUGCUCUGAUUCACUUGCUAAAGUAAACACCAGGAAAUAGCUUUCUUUAGCGUGGGAAUGAAAACACAUGUAGGACGGAUGGGCACUUUUACCUGCCUGUGCUCUUGAGAUGUGUCAUCCAGAAGAAUCAUUUGAAAUGAGAUCACAAGGACUUCCAUUUGCAGACGAACAGUACAAAUGAGUUUCUAUUUCUACCUCAGAGCGGUUUGGAGCUAGCCAAGUGGUCAUAAGCAGAAUGAACAGCCAGCCUUCCUGAGGUGCAGCUGAAUAUUGUACUCUUCAUAGCACAAGCAUAUGGAACCAGAAGUGUAAACUGAUGUUUCUUGAAGUCAAUGGAGAAACAGUGUUACACCAUUUGAGACUUUAGCCCAUGUGAUAUUGAUGUGGACUGUUGCCAUAUUCCACACCAGAGGUGGUUGCAGUUCAAUAGUGGGUAAGCUCUUUAGGGCAGGAUCCAUCUCUUUGUUGUAUGUACAGCACCUAGCACAAUGGAGCCCUGAUCCAGAUUUGGAGUUACCCCCAAUAUAAAUAAAUAACAAUAGUCUCUUCACUUGCAGAUCAUAGUUAGCCAAAUCAUGUUUCCUUUCUCCAAUAUCUCAUGAGAAGUGAAAAAGGUUAAAACCAAAAUGACUUGAGCAUGCUGCAGCUGAGAAGCAUUGAAAAAAUGAAUACAGAUGCUUGUCAUGAGAGAACAAAAAUAACUUUUCAGUAGAGAAUACCUGAGGUUUAAAAAGUUGCACAAACUAUCAAGCCUCUUCUUUUGGGUAGGUCCCAGUCCUGUCUAUUAUUAAAAGCCGCCAUAAGGAUUCGUGUGCUGGUAAUACAUUUUACAGGACCCCAGAUGGGCAGUGGACUUAACGGCUUGGCCCACUGCCAUUCAGGGGUUCCAUCCACUGGCUCGUGCCAGCCUGCUGUCAAUUGUGGGAUCCCAGCCCUCCCCACAUACAGUGGGUACCUACUUUCCUUCUUUCUCUGCACUGAGCUGAGGGUGGGAGAUUUGAUGCGAGGGGUGCAGGAGCUCCCAUUUGUUGUUCUGGGUGGCAGUGGGGAUGCUGGAUUUGUGAAGGGGUGCAGGUGUCAGGGCAGAGGGUUGUGGGGGUGGGGGAUGAACGAGUCAAGCAGAGGGCUGUGUGUGGUUCGGGGGGACUGCCCCCCUAAAAACUCCCAACCUCCCUGCUCCUCUGUUCCUUGUCCUCUGACAGGACCCUUAUUCACACCCUGUUCCCAGCCAGACCCCCCCCCCCCCCCCCCCCCGGGGAAUCCCACCCAACCUGCUCUGCUCCCUGACUGGCCCCCCCCCCCAUGCUGUAACUCACACAGGGUGUCUAUGGCAGUCACUCCUGUGACUUAAACAACUGCUUUCAGGACCUGACCCUGCAGAUACUGAAGCACAUAAGUAACUCUUCUCAUCCCGUAAUCAGUUUGAUUCAAGUUUCCUUAUUAGAAAUACUCACAUUGUGUUUUGUGUGGAUAGUGAAAACUGAUGGGUCAGAGAAACCACAGAGGUGCUCUUGGAGACAUAAAUAAUGAACCAUUGCAAAGUACUUUGGGAUCCCCUUAUGACAUCUUUGAUCUUACUUGGGGUGGGGAGUAUAACUCUGGUCUACAAUUUUUGAGAAGUCGUCUGCUUCAGAGAUAAAAAUUCAAAUAUGACAAUUAAAACAACUGAUUGGCUACAGUUUCUACGAUAUUUACGUUUUAUGUCUAUGUAUAUUGUGUAGAUAGUAGAGUUUUGUAAACCUAGGUCUUUGUUUAUGGUUGUUUUACAUGAUAA